CAAAAACCAACAUGCAACACUAGUGAUGUCACACCUCCAGGCUGAGCACGCGAAGCUGCGGGGAACCUCCGGAUUUACUUCCCUGAGCAAAGUGUGUCCGAAAAGAAGAAGCAGAAGAAGAAGAAGAAGAAGAAGAAGAAGCGGCGUGACCCGCGGCGACAGGUGGCAACAAGAGCGCAUCUUCUCUCCAUCCUCCAUCCCUCACAUCUCAAACCAGGAGAGCUGAGACUGUCGGACGCGCAGCGCGCGCUCCCGGAGUGGCGCGUCGCCUCCUGCUCCCCAUGCGCGCUCCCGCCGAGAUGAAUGCUUCUCCGGGGAAAAGCGCCCACUUAAUGACAACUUUUAUAAAUCUAGCCGGGCGAGCGCACGUCGCCUCGGCGGACAGCGAGUCGAGAUGAGACCGUAAUUAGGUCAUAAUAGCU
Molecule: long non-coding RNA, 422 nt
Organism: Gasterosteus aculeatus aculeatus (three-spined stickleback)
Lineage: Eukaryota; Metazoa; Chordata; Actinopteri; Perciformes; Gasterosteidae
Source: Ensembl